Molecule: non-coding RNA, 896 nt
Organism: Camelina sativa (false flax)
Lineage: Eukaryota; Viridiplantae; Streptophyta; Magnoliopsida; Brassicales; Brassicaceae
Source: RefSeq, a predicted model, not a curated record
CAGUCUGCACUUGUGAUUUAUACAUUUGCAACUACCCUUAAGAUCAUCAGGCUCAACGCAAAGAUGCUUUGUGAAAAAGAAGGAUGUGGGAAACGAAACUAUGUUCAACAUAUGAUAAAGAAACUUCCAUCUGUUUUCACAAUUGCACUUGAGUGGGAGAACAAUGAGACUGGAAAAGAGAUAUUCGAUACAAUUUCUGUCCUGGCGACUAAGAUAGAUAUUCGUAAGAUAUACAAAUACGAAGGAGACAGUCCAUUCACCAAAUACCGUCUCGUCUCAAUGGAAAAGGCCAAGUAUCUUAUUUGUUUCAGUUCCAUUUAAGUUUUCUAUGUUACUAGAAACAACUCCAAAUAUUAAUAUUCAGGUUUGAUCGCAUGAAAUAUCUAUACAACUGUAUAGCUUAUGAAAAUAAUACAUGGGUCAGACAUUACUGUUCUGAGAUAGAUGUAAUAUAACAGGUUUGCUCGCAUGGAGAUGGAUACAACUGUGUAGCUUAUGAAAACAAUGGAUGGGUCAGACAUUUUUGUUCUGAGAAAGAGGUAAAAGAGCUUAGACUUUUAUGGUGAAAGACGAGCAAGUUACUCGAUCUGUGACUGAGUGAUGUAUGUUGGCUGUCAAGAUUAUUGGAGACUGGGAUGGUGUUCUCAAAAAAUUCCGAGAACUGUAUAUUCGACCUGAGAUUCUAUUUUUUGAAAACACUAGGCAAGAGGGGGACUAGAAGUUUUCCGCGCUGGGAUCUGAUGAUUAAGUGAGUGGAUUCCAAUGGUGCAGGAAAGGGAUUGAUGUAUAUACAAUGUGUUCUGAGUCUAAGUCAAAGCCUUUAUAGGAGUACGUAGAACAAUGUUUUGGUGUUGUUAGACAACUCACAACUGUGAACAGACUUGUCUGUUUUUUUG